RNAcentral lists this long non-coding RNA (1634 nucleotides) under Cicer arietinum (chickpea). RNAcentral describes it as "long non-coding RNA (CARI_LNC002290)". The record is from RNAcentral. Lineage: Eukaryota; Viridiplantae; Streptophyta; Magnoliopsida; Fabales; Fabaceae.
UCGGUGCGACGCACGAGUUACAAACUAGUUUAAUUAAAAAACGAAAGAGAACAACAAAAAACUAAUAGAGAACAAAAAUGAUCCUAAUUCUAAGACCUAAAUCCAUUCGUACUCUCGGUCUCUCAUCAUCUUCUUGCUCUCUCAUAAACAUCACGUUCUUUCAUAUGUCGUUGUGUACCUUCAUCAACAUCGAUUAUGCUUCUACGAAUGUUCUCCCAGGUUCAUGUGGCUUAAUCUUUUCGUUCCUCUUCCUUUUCUUCUCGCGUUCUCAUCGUAUUUUUUUUCCCUUCUUACUCUUCUUGAGAUUAUCGUAGAACAGAAGUUUGUGCAACCAAAGUAUAGCACAAAAGGUCACAUCUCUUCUAUUUGCCUUCACAAAGUUUGCGUACGACAACACAAUAGGAAUAUGCUUCCUCCCUCUCUUUUUCUUUAUCUUCCCUAAAUACUUUUGAUUAUGCAAAAUAUGUUUUAGUGGGUUUAGGUUUCAUAUGCUACAUACACUAAAUUUUUUAUAUUAUCUUUUGUUUUCCUUAAUUUCACAUUCAAAAUUGGUUUGGCCUUGUUUUUUGACAUGGUUAAAGUUGUUGGAACCUAGUUGGUCCCAAGAACAAUUCAUCUAUGUAGCUUUGAUGUUAACAAAAGUAUUUUGUGGGAACAAUUUAUUGCACUAAUAAUUUCAUUAAAUGUGCAUAAAUUAAAAUAGGAAAUCGGAAGCAAAUAUUAGAAGGAAGAAAUAAGAAAAAAAAUAUUAGGGAAAGUCACCAGAGGAAGCCAUAAGAGAAGUCACCAAAGGAAGUGAUCAACAGAAGUCACCAGAGAAAGUAUCCAAAGAAAGUGACUAGAGGAAGUAAAAAGCUCAGAUGAAACGAAACCAAAUCACUUAACAAAAUCCUCAUAAUCGGAAAAAUGCAUGCUCUGGAAUCAGAAAAAUGCAUGCUCUGGAAAAGUACGUGCAUCUGUCUCUAAUAGCGUGCUUGUGGUAGUUCAGCGUAUUUUUGGUAAAUCAACAUGCCUCUCAUAAACAUUAGCUCUAGCAUGCCUGUAAUGAAAAGUAAAUGUAGCAUGCCUCUGAUGAACAAUAUUUUUGAGCAUGCAUUUGAAGUCUACUAUUUUCAAGUCUGCCUCUGAAGCCCAUGUUCCACUAGCUCAAAUAAUUGCAACAUGUUCCAAAAUGCUGCCUCUAAUAAGCAUCCUUUGAAGUUUCAAUGACUCUGAUAAUGAAACAAAUGUGAAGUUGUCCAUGCCACUAAUUCUAAGUCACACAAUUUUGCCUCUGGCAGAAUUAUUCAAGCAACACAACAUUUGACUUCAACAAUCAAGUCAAUGAUUUUGAUGGAGAAAAGUGAACGACUCUAAUGGAAGGUCAAAGACUUUGAUAGAUUGAGUAAAAUACUAAAUUGGACUGAGUCGUAUCCUUACGUUUGAAGGUCCAAGAACAAGCCUAUAAUUGUUCCUGCCCAAAUCAAAUCAAGCAUAUGAAGGAAGACUCAAGUUAAUCAAUAUGAAAACGUAAUCUGAACAAAUAUUUUAUCUCUCUAGAAGAAUUGCUCAUAUUAGAUAGGAUAAUAAAAAUUGUCUAACAAUCAUAUUAUCAAGAUUGUAUCAACUUGAACUAUAUUUGGAAUAAAUAAUUG